Molecule: non-coding RNA, 29 nt
Filed under: Rattus norvegicus (Norway rat)
Lineage: Eukaryota; Metazoa; Chordata; Mammalia; Rodentia; Muridae
Source: RNAcentral
UGAGGAAAUUUGGCCUCUGUAUGCACGAU